This is an RNA transcript of Quercus lobata, 2229 nucleotides long. It is a transcript of the gene named cellulose synthase-like protein H1, with no coding region annotated. NCBI's taxonomy places the organism in Eukaryota, Viridiplantae, Streptophyta, Magnoliopsida, Fagales, Fagaceae. The record is from RefSeq and is a predicted model, not a curated record. The transcript is spliced from 9 exons.
GCCGCUAAAAUUGUAUUCCUAUCUACUCCAUGGCCAACCCGAUCGCUCUCCCUCUAUAUAAAAAAAUCCCACGUAAAAAAUCCCACGUAAAAACACUUUACAAAGACUCUUUGAUAUCCUAAUCUUCUUCCUUCUCCUUUCUCUUCUUAUUUAUCGUUUUCUCUUCCUCAAAAAUCAUGGUCUCACUUGGUUGCUUGCCUUCCUAUGCGAGUCAUGGUUCACCUUCACUUGGGCUCUCGUCAUCAGCACCAAAUGGAAUCCUGUUGAAUAUAAAACGCAUCCAGACCGACUCUUACAACGGGUACCUGAACUUCCAUCGGUGGACAUGUUUGUGACAACUGCGGACCCUGUGCUAGAACCACCUAUCAUCACAGUAAACACCGUGCUCUCUUUGUUGGCAAUUGAUUAUCCAGCUCACAAGCUAGCUUGUUACGUAUCAGAUGAUGGUUGUUCUCCAAUCACUUACUACUCUCUUGUGGAAGCCUCAAAGUUUGCCAAGCUUUGGGUUCCAUUUUGUAAGAAGUACAAUAUUCAUGUUAGAGCCCCCUUUCGAUACUUUUCUAGUAACCCCCAAACUUUCGGUGGUAGUUCAAGUGAUUUUCAACAGGAAUGGAAAAGAAUGAAGGAUGAGUAUGAGCGACUUAGCCACAAAAUUGAGGAUGCGGUCCAAAAGUCCGUGCCAAGUGAUUUUAAUGGAGACUUUGCAGAAUUCUCGAACAUAGAACGCAGAAACCAUCCAGCUAUUAUCAAGGUUAUAUGGGAGAACAAGAUAAGUCUUCUAGAUGGAUUGCCACAUUUGGUUUAUAUAUCAAGAGAGAAGCGACCAAAUCAUCCACAUCAUUACAAAGCAGGAGCCAUGAAUGUUCUCGCCAGAGUCUCUGGCUUGAUGACGAAUGCUCCCUAUAUGCUGAAUGUAGACUGUGAUAUGUUUGUCAACAAUCCAAAAACUGCUCUUCAUGCAAUGUGCCCACUACUGGAUUCCAAGAGUGAAAACAAAAUUGCAUUUUCUCAAUUCCCACAAGUGUUCUAUGGUGGAUUAAAGGAUGACCCAUAUGGAUGCUUUCACAGUCGGAAAGUUAUCUAUGGUCUAUCUCCAGAUGAUGUAGAUUCGGAAAAUGAAAAAACGGCUAAUAACAUUCUUUCAAAUUUUGGGAGUUCAAAGGAGUUGAUCAAAUCAGGUGCUAAUGCUUUAAAAGGGAAGACAAAUCCACCACCCAAUCUUUCGAAUUCUAUUCAGGCAUCAUACCAAGUCAGUGGUUCUGGUUAUGAGUAUGGUACUAGUUGGGGUACAAAGGUUGGCUGGAAAUAUGGAUCGACCACAGAAGAUAUCCACACUGGACUAAUGAUCCAUAAAAGAGGUUGGAGGUCGGCCCUUUUAUCACCAAACCCACCGGCCUUUUUAGGGUGCGCACCCUCAGGUGGGGCUUCCGUAGCAACCCAACAAAAGAGGUGGGUAACAGGCCUACUUGAAAUUCUUUUUAGCAAAAGUUGUCCUAUAUUUGCUACUCUCUUUGGAGAGCUUCAAUUUAGGCAAUGUUUGGCAUAUUUAUGGGUCCUCAUGUGGGGCCUACGCUCCAUCCCCGAGCUAUGCUAUGCUGCUUUGCCUGCGUAUUGUCUCAUCACCAACUCCCACUUCUUGCCCAAGGUGCAAGAACCAACACUAUAUGUACUAGCUGCUAUCUUCAUCAUUUACAACGUAUACACUUUAUCCGAGUACCUAAGAAGCGGACAAUCAAUUCGAGCAUGGUGGAAUAAUCAAAGAAUGUCACGAAUAAACACAAUGAAUGCAUGGUUAUUCGGAUUUCUCAGUGUGAUACUUAAGCUCUUAGGAAUAUCCGAGACAGUUUUUGAAGUAACACAAAAAGACCAAUCUAGUGAUGAUGCCAGUGAUGCUGAAGCGGGAAGGUUCACCUUCAACGAGUCCCCAAUUUUCUUGCCUAGUACAACCAUUUUGGUGGUGCACUUGACAGCGUUGGUUGUGAGUUUAUUAAAGUUGCAACCUCCAGCUCGUGAUGGGCAUGGAUCUGGGCUAGGGGAGGUAUUUUGUAGUGUGUAUUUGGUGUUAUGCUUCUGGCCAUUUUUGAAGGGAUUAUUUGGGAAAGGAAGACAUGGGAUUCCCUCAUCUACAAUAUGCAAGUCAACUGCUUUAGCGUUACUUUUUGUGUACUUUUGUAGAAGGGCUACAAUAGGUUGAGACUUUGGUCAUGAAAUUAUUUUCUUUGCUCACUA